This is a long non-coding RNA of Rhopilema esculentum, 2598 nucleotides long. RefSeq lists it as uncharacterized. The record is from RefSeq and is a predicted model, not a curated record. NCBI's taxonomy places the organism in Eukaryota, Metazoa, Cnidaria, Scyphozoa, Rhizostomeae, Rhizostomatidae.
UUGCUCACUAGCGUGGCACCAAUGCAGCCAGUGUGCAAAAUUACCCAAAAUACAACUUUGUCCUCUAAUUUACAGGUUAUGGUUUUCUAAAACACUGCAAUCGGGUAAAUGUUAAUUGGUAAUCUUAAUCGCAAAUUUUACUGACUUUCUUAAAGGGUUUUUUCUGAAUGCCUUUUUAAAAAUGUUUGUCUAGUCGGCAAGGAAGUGUUAAGACUGUUCCUAUGGGCCCGGAAAAGUCGCCAUUUUUGAAGAUAAAAUUUUGUGCUUGAAUUACCUUAAAUAAUGUUUAGGAUGACUUUAAAUACCGUUGGAGAUUUUUUGACUGCCAGUGUGCUAAAGAUUAGCUACAAAAAUUAAUUCCUACAAAAAUGAAAAACAACCUAAAACGAUAAAAAAUUUCGCUAUUUUUCAAGGAAAAUUGUAUUCCUUAGAAACUGUUACGGUCCUUAAUGUAGGUUUUUGAUAACGAUUAAAUCUAGUUAAAAGUCCUGGACACUUGUUGGCUUUAAAGAGUGAUGAAAAUGUAAGGUAUAAGCAUGGAAUAAGUGGCAUUUUAAAAUUGAAACAGAUUGAAGAAAUGAUUAUUCAUUAAAAGAUAAGCCUAUAGGCUUGGAACAAUUGUUAUCAAAAAAUAGUUUUAAUUUUGAUGACGUUUGAACGUGAUUGACAAUCAAAGUGCCAGUAAUUAGCUGUAAAUAUAGGCAAAGAUAGGGUAAAAGUUUUUCAUUUUUAAAGGAAAUGUCGCGUUCUUGAGAAUUGUUGAAAAUAUAUAUGGAAGACCUUAAAUAUUGUUUGCAAGUGAUCAACAAACCAUGUACCAGUGUAAAGUGGUACCCUUUGUGUAAGCCUGUAGAUUUGGCAAAAUUUCCACUUUUGAAGGAAGUUUGCUUUGCUUACAAAAUAUUGAAAAUUGUUAAAAAUGACUUCUCAUACUGUUUUCAAAUGAUUGACAAUCAAAGUGCUAUAAAAUAACAAGAAAUUCGGCAAAUAUUGGAAUAAGAAAUUUUUUGGACAGGUAAAACUAUAGCCUUGGAAACUUUUUUCAUCUAAAAACAGGUUAAGCUGCUUCCCUUUAAUAAGAAAAAUUAAGAAUUGGAUUGGGUCAUGAAACAAGAGUCAUUUUUCGUAAAACCUCCAGCUUUUCUGACUCAACGAUUUUCUAUCAAAUAGUAAAGCUUUAGACAAAUCGGCAAUUUUUCAAAACUUUCUUCGUCUUGAAACAGGCGAAGCGGCUUCUUUAUGAUCAGAAUAGACAAGAAUUAAAUUAUGUUCUAGAAUAAGAGUGAUUUUGUCGAAAAAUUAACGGCAUUAUAGACCGGACAGUUUUUGAUCAAUUAUUAAGACUAUAGGCCUCGUUUAUAUGUUCUGUUCUGUUUUAUUAACCUCGCAUUGACAUGAAUUAGAUGAAUAUGGACGAUAAUAGAGUUUGCAUUUAUUUUAUUACGCUGUUUUAACUGGGGACGAGCAGCGAUAUCUCGAUAAAGAUGAACCCACUAGCCAAAGCAGUGGGAAGUCCACUUUUUGACCCUUCAUAACACGAGGGAAACACGCUACAAGCAUUCAGGGAUUUUAUAGACUUGUGGGAAAUGUGGUAUGAACUGCUGGCCUCAAUGGGUGAACUGAAAGAGGAUACAUCAGAUGCCAGUAUGUAGGAACACAAUAAAGCAAAAGUACCAGAAAUCUCAAAACCAGAUAUGUUUGCACCAUCAGUUUAAUCAACUCAAACAGGAACCAGCGAUGCCUAUGGAAAUGAAUGGCUGCUGCGUAUUUGGGGUUCCAAGGAACAAUGCCGUGUGCAAUUCAAAGAUCUCAAAAGAUACAAUUGACUCCUUGUCCAACGUAGAAGAAGAAGUAGCUUGUAGCAAUGACAGUUGCUGGUGUAUGUGGUAUAAAAUGUGUCAAAGUCAACAUGGUCUUCCAUGGGACUAAAAAGCCAAGGGAUCCUUGGACCCGCUGCUCAGACAUAACGUUAAGCGGAAAUUCAUCUGGUAAUCUAUUGACAGGUGCUUCAGAUUUUUCUCAAUCUUCAUGACUAGAUGUUCACAGUCACGAUGAAAUAUUAAUUAAAUGGGACAUAGAACGUAUUUGCACCGAAGGAAGCAAGGGCGAAAUCAUUACGAGAAAAAUGUAAUCUUAAUGAACUGGGAGGGAUUUUUAAAACGUGACAUCACAGAUAAGCGAUUUUAAGAGCUCAUUUGAAUUUUUUCUCGCUACUGAGUUGAAAGAUUGAGAGGAUAAGCCAUGGAUUGCCCAAUAUCUUUAAAAGCUGUUUUCAAAAGAAAGUUAAUGAGGGUGUUUUACCGAGAUUAGAAGGUCAACGUCUAGCAAGGGACAAAAUUGAUUAUUUUAUGGAUCAACCUUCAUACCGCUAAGCUCUUGAUUCUGACGCUAAAUUUCUUGAGAUAAGAGAGAGAAUUUCUACGCACAUGGUAGAAAUAGCCAUUUACUCUUAAAAUUCAAAUUCUGAAAUGGUUUUCUUACAGGUUGUAUUAUCUUUUCAGAAAACUUAGUCACCUGCUAAAAGUCAAUUGGCAAAUUUCUUCAAAUUUUAUCGGCAAUCUUUCGCCACAAUCGUUCUUAAAUGUUAAGAGAGACUAA